RNA transcript from Xenopus tropicalis (tropical clawed frog), 1198 nucleotides. RefSeq lists it as uncharacterized. Lineage: Eukaryota; Metazoa; Chordata; Amphibia; Anura; Pipidae. The record is from RefSeq and is a predicted model, not a curated record. The transcript is spliced from 5 exons.
CUGCUUCUUACCCUGAACCUCAUAUAGGGAUCUGCUUCCUACCCGGAACCUCAUAUAGGGAUCUGCUUCCUACCCGGAACCUCAUAUAGGGAUCUGCUUAUUACCCUGAACCUGCACUAUGCAGGGACUUGGGAGAGACACACAGAACAGGGACUCCCCAAAGAGGGAGAAGGAUCUGAGGGGCUCAGCAAUACUGCACCAGCAGAGACGCCUCAAACAAGCCACGCAGUUUGUGCACAAAGACUCUGCGGAUCUUCUGCCACUGGACCAGCUGCGGAGACUGGGGACCAGUAAAGACCUGCAGCCACACAGUGUGAUCCAGAGACGGCUCAUGGGGGGCAGCCUGAGCAUUGAAAGCGAUAACCCUGUAUUUCCAACUUCCCCGUGCAACAGGGGGAGAGACGCACCCCCCAGGGUGAUGAGACGAUACAGCCAACUAAGUUGGGUGAGGAGACCCCCGGUGGCUGGAAGGAACAAGCUCUACUCAUACCCUGCAAGGUUUGUGGCCACGAUGCAAGGGCCAAGCUAUGCACGGAACAUCAACAGAACCUCAUCUCCCGGAGCUGCACGGAAAGGCUGGGGGCCCCAAUUUCACAUUACAAAGUUGCAUCAGGACUUUAUGGACCUAGGAAUGAUACGGACUGGAGCCUGGAAUUUACUGUAAGUACUGGAUGUGCUGAAGGAGCUGCUGGGCUUCAGGAAGGGGACUGGGUACUAGGAAGCCCCAGGGGGGGCAAUUGCAACAGGAAGUUGCCUGAGAGGGGGCACAUCAUUGGGCCUUUCAAAACGAGGCUGCAGAGACCCUAGUGGCACAGACUGGGGGCUUUCUGGUAGGAGGUGUCUGUUGAAAUUAGAAAUUAAUUCUAACUUAGGGAAUUGCUACAAGGUGACUCUGGGACUUGGGGUGUCAUAGUCAGUCUCAGGGAAUCCCUAAGUGUUAGACUGUAUUUGCUUCCUCCGGUGUUGGUAACAUCAGGCACUGGUUACUGAGGGAACAGGAGAGACGGGGAGUAAAUCCGUGGCUGUAGUGAAGGAUCACAGAGAAAACUCGAUGAGGGACGUUACUUCAUGACAGAGAAAGGAGCCUCUGGCUUUAUCCAAGCAAGAUCUGGGAUGCUUAUCCGCACUAUACCGCUUGUCUAGUUCUAUACCCACCUGAGGAUAAACACUUGUUUGGAAUGGCCGCCUACAUCGAAUU